GUUGAACGCUGGCGGCAGGCCUAACACAUGCAAGUCGAACGAGUGGCGGACGGGUGAGUAACGUCUGUGAACCUGCCCGAUGGAGGGGGAUAACUACUGGAAACGGUAGCUAAUACGGCAUACCAUCGGCUGUUCCAAGGUUGGAUUAGCUAGUAGGUGGGGUAACGGCUUACCAAGGCAACGAUCCCUAGCGGGUCUGAGAGGAUGACCAGCCACACUGGAACUGAGACACGGUCCAGACUCCUACGGGAGGCAGCAGUGGGGAAUAUUGCACAAUGGGCGCAAGCCUGAUGCAGCCAUGCCGCGUGUGUGAAGAAGGCCUUCGGGUUGUAAAGCACUUUCAGCGGGGAGGCGUUACCCACAGAAGAAGCACCGGCUAACUCCGUGCCAGCAGCCGCGGUAAUUC
Molecule: ribosomal RNA, 406 nt
Filed under: uncultured bacterium
Lineage: Bacteria
Description: partial 16S ribosomal RNA
Rfam family: Bacterial small subunit ribosomal RNA
Source: RNAcentral